AUCUUCAUUGUAUUUAAUUAUACAAAGAAGAACCCAAAAUCGACGGCCCAGGCAUCUACAGUUGGCAGAGUUGGAGAUUCGCAGAUUGACAACCAGAGCAAGGGAAAUUCACUGAGGAGAAUGGUCCUCCCCUUCCUCCUCUGAGGAGCCUCCACUGAUGGGAGUCAUUUUCCAAUCAUAGCCCCACCAGAAAGGGCUGGCACGUGGUGGAUGGGAAGGGGCUGUUCUGGGACCUGUUCGGGUCCUCAGGCAGUCAUAACUGUGGGAGAGGCUUAGUGAAGGGCUGCUACUUGACAUCAGCAGAAGAGAGGUGUGCGGGAAGGAGAUGGGCUGCUACAUCAUUAUGGAUCCAGCCUACCCACUGCAGCCGUGGCUGAUGAAACCGUUCGCAGACACAGGCCAUCUGACUCCGGAACAGCAGAAGUUUAACAGUUUGAUCUCUGGGGCCAGGGCUGUUGGGGAGAACACCUUUGGGCGACUGAAGGGCAGGUGGCGCUGCCUCAUCAAGAGAAACGACAGCAGUCUCAUGCUCACAAAGCAAAUGCUGUUGACAUGCUGUGCCCUCCACAACCUUUGAGGAGAAUGGGGACCACUUCAGGGAGGAAUGGAAGCCUGCCGCAUCGGAGUUGCAGCCUCCCAGACAGGCUGUUUCUGACCGUGGGGAUCUGGAGGGAUUUGCAGUGAGAGCUGCACUUGUGGAGCUUUUUAACAGGCCCACCCCUCUCCCCCGUCUCAUUGACGGCCAACCGGCGUACACGGUGAGGCGUAUCCUGAUGGUUCGACCUCGGGGCAGGGGAUUCCAGUACCUGGUUGACUGGGAGGGUUAUGGCCCGGAGGAGAGGUGCUGGGUCUCCGCUAGGGACAUCCUGGACCCAGGCCUCAACGCUGAGUUUCAACGACAGCACCCUGGUCAACCAGGUAUGCA
Long non-coding RNA from Coregonus clupeaformis (lake whitefish), 925 nucleotides. RefSeq lists it as uncharacterized. The transcript has 3 exons. Lineage: Eukaryota; Metazoa; Chordata; Actinopteri; Salmoniformes; Salmonidae. The record is from RefSeq and is a predicted model, not a curated record.